AACGCCAAAAACAGCACCACUUCUGAGCCUGAAAUUGAAGAUGACACCGACUCGGAACGUGGAUCGGAAAUUUUCGAGACUGAUGAAAUGGAUGACGUCACUACUUCUCCACUUACGACGUUCUUCAUUGCUCCACUUUUCCUCGCACUUCUUCUGUACUUGGCGUCAAUCAAUUUUUCGGAACUUUUCAAUGGACUUUAUGGGAACUAAAUUCUACUUGCUGAUAUAAAUUUAAAUUACUGGAAAAUUGUUUUGUUCAUUUUAUUUUCUUACCAAGAAAUUUCUUUUUUUUUUGUUUUUUUUUUUUUUGAAAGUUUUAGAGAAUACGAAAAAAAAUAUUUUAAGUUCAAGAUGAUUAUUUUCGAAAAAAAGUUUUUAAAAAAGAAGAAAAAAUCAAUCAAGGAGCUGAGAAUUAGUGUUUCACUAAAAAUUCAAACGUCUCUCCAAAAAAUGACUGGAAAUUUGAUUUCCCCGCCAAAAAUAGACUGAAAUUUUGAUUUUCCCGCCAAAAAUUGACUGGAAAUUUGAUUUGUCCACCAAAAAUUGACAGAAAAUUUGAUUUCUCAUCAAAAAUUAAUAAUAAAAACGUGUAUUUAAUUUUUUUUUAAACCGUGACUUUGGAAAAUGUUGGAAAACAAAAGGGAAAUCAUCGCGAUUGCGUGGAUUUUAGUUUUAUUUCGUUUUCUUAGCUGGUUUCGAUCAAUAAUGUUGUCAAAAGUAAGCUUUUUCAUAGAUUUUUUGUUUUGAUAAAAGUUAUACAUUUUAGAUGGCAAAAUAUCCGGAAAACGAGAAAAAUGAUAGAGUGAGGACAAAAAUGUUUCGAAAUUUUUUUUUUCAACUUCAAAUAUGUUUCCAGACGGCAAAGGAACGAGGGGACCCGAGUAAGAAGGUAAAUUGUACAUAUUUUUCUCGAUUUCAACUUUCCCUUUCAGAUGCACACAUUCUCUCCAGGAACCAUGUUUCUGGCUAAAACAACUGAUGAACUAGUAAGCGAAAGUCUAAAUCUUGAGAAUUUUUUAAUUUUCAGAAAGCGAUUUUUGAUAUGCUGGGAAUGGAUGAACAAAUGAAGAAUGUUCUUCUUGAAAAUAGAAAGGUAUGCUUUUUUUUCAAAAAAUCUCUAUAUUUGAAAUUAAGUUUACUGAAAAAAAAAUUUAAAGUUCGUUUUUUUUCAGGACUAACUGAAGAAGAAGAAUUUCGAGAAGCUGGAGCAAUUUGUGAAAAAUAUCUCGAAUAGUGCACCGAACGACGACAGAGUAAGUAUGGAGAAGAUACGCAGACAGCUAGACACUCUAGCAGUCUGAGUCUCUCUCUCGCAUUUGUUCAAUAGGUUACUGUAGCUAUUAUUUCAGGACGCCGAGUAUCUUACCACCUCUGAGCCUGAAACUGAUGAUGACACCGACUUGGAAAUCAAAACAAAACUUAUCGAGCCAGCAUUAGAGGUACUGUAGUUUUUUGGGUUACUGUAGCAUACGAGACUGUAGCGUACGAGACUGUAGCGUUGAGUUACUGUAACAUGUGGUAACUGUAGCGUAGGAGUACUGUAUAGUUCAGUCACUGUAGGGUUAGGUUUCUGUGGCAUACAAGUAUUUUAAUGUCGGGUUACUGUAGCACAUGAAACUAUAGUUCUGGGUUACUGUGGCAUGUGGAUACUGUAGGGUUGGGUUACUUUCGCAUGUCAGACUGUGGUUUUUAGUUACUGUAGCAUAUGAUCACAUUACUGCCAGGUUAUUGUACCAUUACUGUAGCACACGGGUACUGUGGGUUACAGUAACCUUGUCAGGUGGCCGCGAAACUAGUAAGUUCUGCCACAAAGUGAAGACUUUCAGGUCGUCAAGCACGGCACUAUCAGUGAUCCGGAAACUGAAAUCCUUGGACCCGCAAAGAAGGAUGACGUCACGGCCCACGCAUCGAUGACGUCACUUGUCUGGAAAUUCGCAACCCUCAUAUUUAUUCCAAUUUUUCUUGCAAUUCUUCUGUAUUUUGUCCCAGUUGAUUUUUCGAAAUCUUCUAACCGUUUUUCCCAGAGCCGAGGUGCAAUUUGAUCUGAAUUUUAUGUUUUAAAAGAACAUUUCUUGAAUAAAGUACUUCUAGUUCCUUUUAGUUGUACUUGAGACAGAUCCGCGAAGUGUCGGCUGCUGGAAAACUUGCACGUUUCUUACUUCGACGCGGUUCAUUUAAGGGGUACUUAUUGCAAAACAAUAGAUGAAGUUGUACAAAAGUUUUGCAAGGAUUUUUUGAAAAGGCAAAGACAAUCGAGGUAUGAGCUGUCGAAAAUAUGUGAAAUAUUCCCGGUCGAUGCACCAUGCUCAACAACUAGCUUUAUACCCUUGAAUUUUAAAUAUAAUAUUUAAUGUUAAAAAUUACACAUCAAAGUUUUAUUCGAAAUUGUACACUAUCAUUAACAAUUAACACUAUUUUUAAUUAACACGCAAAUGUAAGCUCUCAUCACUUCAUUGCACGUUCCAGUUCUCAUACCAUUUGUCAUGAGAAACAUCUAACGCUCGCCACUGACGCCAAACCUAAACCUAAAUCUAAAACUAAGCCUGAGCCUACGCCUAAUCUUAAGCCUAUGCCUCAGCCAAAUCCCAAGCCAAGCCCCAAAAUUAAGCCAAAGCCCAAUCGAAAGUUAAUUAAGACUUAUCAACUGUAACAGCCAUUGUAUUCAUCAAUAGAAAAUCGAAAUCAAAAACGUCUCUGAGAAUAACCAUUAACAAACCGAAUGCCGUCAGAGACAAGGCAUUUACAGUCGACAGCUUACGCACAACUGGAUUUCCAGACACUUCUGCAUUGAGCUUUUCAAAGCUUGGUUCAAUGAAUAGCAUUUUAGAAAAAAGAAUAAUAGGGUAGAUGGUUUAGACAAGGAGAAUGAGUGUAUCGAUUCUUGAUGGGUGCGCUACCAUAAAACUUCAAGAACUAGGAGAACAUUUUCAGACUGCUCAUCAAGCAAUUUUGAAUCUUCGCAACUCGGAUUUGGAGGGUCUUGACCCAGAAGUUAAGGACACAGUUAUGUAUUUCAGAAAUGUGAGCUUCUUCUGAUUAUGAAAAACUGAAUAUUAUAGAUUUUGCUUCAAAACGAACAGAGUUACAGCUCCUUUUAAGAGAGUGACUAUACAUUUUUCAGAUCGAAAUGGAAAACGCGGUAUUCGGAAAAAAACCAGCGGAUGAUUCUGAUAAUGACGCAGUAAGUACUCUAACUGUCUGCGGUCUAUCAAUAAAAACAGAGGGCCUAAGUCUAGGCCUCAGCCAAAAUAUAAGCCCUUAAUUUUUGUAAAUUCUUCCAGAACGUCAAAAACAGCACCACUUCUGAGCCUGAAAUUGAAGAUGACACCGACUCGGAACUUGAAUCGGAAAUUCUCGAGACUGAUGAGAUGGAUGCCGUCACUACGUCUCCACUGAUGACGUCAUCAGUUCCAAAGUUCGCCCUAAUCUUCAUUAUUCCGAUUUUCCUCGCAAUUCUUCUGUACUUGGUGCCAAUCGAUUUUUUUCAAUGGACUCUAUGAGAACUAAAUUCUACUUGCUGAUAUAAAAAAUUGAUAAUUAAAAUUAUUUAAAAGCAAAAUAGUUUUACUUUAAAAUUGAAAUAUCUUUAACAACAGGCAUCUAAUUAUGAAUCAAUGUGUUUUUUGCAAAUAUAAUCCCGCAUCACUUCAUUACACUCCUGGUCCCACUCAUAGUCAAAAAAAAACCAGUACCUGUUGUAGCUUGAGAACCAUGCUCGAAAAAUCAAACUUGUUCAGUGCCCUUACAGUACCCCUACAGUACCCCUUCCAUAUCCAUACAAUAACCCUACACUAAGCAUACAGUACUGAAAAGCAAUUUUCAGGAAGUUGCUCAAUCCUGGAAAGCAUCCCGAAAAAACGUACGUGCACCAGGACCUCUACAGUACUCCAUCACUACCCAUAUUCUACAGUCCCACUAUUUUAUUUUCUACAGUACUCCUGCAGUACAGCAAUGGUACAUCUACAGUAACCCUACAGUGCCUUAUAGUAAUUUUUGUGUAAUUAUGUGGAUACUGUAGCGUUAAAAAUACGUUAACAAGAGAAAUCCAGAAUUUUUUUAUUUCGUUUUGAAAUUUGAAACAAAAAUUGAAAAUUUUUCACGUGAACCAGAAUUUUCACAAAAAAUUGGGAGUUUGUUGGAUCCACGUGGACAUAUUUGGAAUUUUUUCUCAGAUUUUGAAUUUGAAAAAGUUUUAUUUCGAUAUUUGUCGGUUGCUUCGAGCAAAAUGCCCAAAACUCCGUUGACUCAACGGCAAAUUGCUGCAAAAUACAAAAAUGAGACUUGGGACGACAUUGUGAAAGAGGUUAGUUGGAAUUUUCUAGCAUUCCGUACCCAAUAAUUGACUAUAUUUUAGAUGAGAGAAAACUCUGCAUACUGGAUGGAUACGGUAGGUUUUUGUUUGAAUUCCCAGCAAAAUUGUUCUUUUCAGACUUUACCGAAAGCCGAGCAGCGCAGAAAUUAUGGGAAGAUGGAGGAAUUUGUGAAAAGAAUGGAUAUGUGCCGGGAGAGACAGAAGGCGGUUAGUUGAAUAGAGGGAGAGAGACCAGACAGCACUCUAACUGUCUGCGCUCUGGUUAUCCGAUUUUUUAAAGCAAAUUCUGAAAAAUCGACAGUUUUCGGGGUUUUUUUCCUCAAAAUUAUCGACUUUGACAAUUUAGAAAAUGUUUCUUUUCAAACUAUAAUUUUUUUUGAAACUGUCUAGUUUUUUUCCGAUUUUUGAGAAAUUAAUAAAAACAUAAACUUUAAAAGUUGGAAAUUAUCGAUUAAUUCCAACAAUAAAUCCAAUUUUCAGACGGUAGAAAAUCUGAAAAAUCUGGAAAAACUUGUGGAGCAAGACGAGAAUGGAAAUGCGGUGGGCAUCCAGAAAAACUUUUUUCUGUAAUGUACCUAAAUUACAGGAAAUUUCCGCGGAAGAUCAAGAGAUUCUAUCGAUGCUGAAAUUGGAUCAAGUAAGAGACUUUGUGCACCAGAACUUCUAGAACUACGGGAAUAUUUUCAGAAUGCUCAUAAAGCAAUUUUGAAUCUUCGCAACUCGGAUUUUGAGGGUCUUGAGCCGGAAGUUAAAGACACAAUUAUGUAUUUCAGAAAGGUGAGCAUUUCCUGAUUCUGAACAACUGAAUUUUAUAGAUUUCGCUCAAAAACUAACAGAUUUACGGCUAAUUUUCAAAUAGAGUGAAGGAGGGGAGAGAGCGCAGACGACGAGAGUGUCUCGUUUCUCUUUCUCUCCUCACAUUACCUCACACUCAUUAUACAUUUUUCAGAUUGAAAUGGAAGACGAGGUAUUCGGAAAAGAGCCGGUGGAUGCUUCUGAUAGUGACGAAG
Molecule: small RNA, 5322 nt
Filed under: Caenorhabditis elegans
Lineage: Eukaryota; Metazoa; Nematoda; Chromadorea; Rhabditida; Rhabditidae
Description: Unclassified non-coding RNA C14A6.20
Source: RNAcentral